Molecule: transfer RNA, 84 nt
Filed under: Chloroflexota bacterium
Lineage: Bacteria; Bacillati; Chloroflexota
Also listed under: 1 other name
Description: Chloroflexi bacterium tRNA-Leu
Rfam family: tRNA
About the family: Transfer RNA (tRNA) molecules are approximately 80 nucleotides in length. Their secondary structure includes four short double-helical elements and three loops (D, anti-codon, and T loops). Further hydrogen bonds mediate the characteristic L-shaped molecular structure. tRNAs have two regions of fundamental functional importance: the anti-codon, which is responsible for specific mRNA codon recognition, and the 3' end, to which the tRNAs corresponding amino acid is attached (by aminoacyl-tRNA synthetases). tRNAs cope with the degeneracy of the genetic code in two manners: having more than one tRNA (with a specific anti-codon) for a particular amino acid; and 'wobble' base-pairing, i.e. permitting non-standard base-pairing at the 3rd anti-codon position.
Source: RNAcentral
GCGGAUGUGGCGGAAUUGGCAGACGCGCAUGGUUCAGGGCCAUGUGGCCGAAAGGUCGUGAGGGUUCAAGUCCCUCCUUCCGCA